UACAGAGGUGGCAAGCGUUGUUCGGAAUCACUGGGCGUAAAGGGCGCGUAGGCGGCUUUAUAAGUCGGGGGUGAAAGCCUGUGGCUCAACCACAGAAUUGCCUUCGAUACUGUAGAGCUUGAGACCGGAAGAGGUAAGUGGAACUGCGAGUGUAGAGGUGAAAUUCGUAGAUAUUCGCAAGAACACCAGUGGCGAAGGCGGCUUACUGGUCCGGUUCUGACGCUGAGGCGCGAAAGCGUGGGGAGCAAACAGG
Molecule: ribosomal RNA, 253 nt
Filed under: uncultured bacterium
Lineage: Bacteria
Description: partial 16S ribosomal RNA
Rfam family: Bacterial small subunit ribosomal RNA
Source: RNAcentral